GACAGAGGUCCCGAGCGUUAGGCGGAAUCACUGGGCUUAAAGCGUGUGUAGGCGGAUUUGUAAGUACCUUGUGAAAUCCCACGGCUUAACCGUGGAACUGCUUGGUAUACUGCUUAUCUUGGGCCAUCUAGGGGCGAGCGGAACAAACGGUGGAGCGGUGAAAUGCGUAGAUAUCGUUUGGAACGCCAAUGGUGAAAACAGCUCGCUGGG
This 210-nucleotide ribosomal RNA is filed under the name uncultured bacterium. RNAcentral's name for it is "partial 16S ribosomal RNA". It matches the Rfam family "Bacterial small subunit ribosomal RNA", at positions 524 to 733 of the family's 1533-position model. The record is from RNAcentral.